GUGCGAGACCGAUAGCGAACAAGUACCGUGAGGGAAAGAUGAAAAGAACUUUGAAAAGAGAGUUAAAGAGUACCUGAAACUGCUGAAAGGGAAGCGAAUCGUAUCCAGUGUCUAUAAUCUGCGGCAUAUUUCAUUGGCGGCGGUGUGCGUGCCUUGGCUUUGGAAGCGGCUUUUGUUGCUCUGUGCUUUGGUGUUGCGCGUUGGUGCUAAUGCCCUGUGUUGCGGUAGGACGUCAGAGUCAGUUCGUAUGCUGCGGGAAAUGGCUACCGAGGAGGUAGGUCAGGAGCUUGCUCUUGGCUGUUAUAUCUUGGUGGUUUGUUGUCGUGGUUGGGACAGAGGUGCCUACAAUGUGCUUUUGAGUGUGCCGGGUUCUCGUUUGGUGGACUGUUUGGAUAGCUUGCUAUGCUUGUGGUUUUUUCAUCGGGUGAUUGAGUCUGGUGGUAACUUGUUGCUGUUCGGGACUUUGAA
RNAcentral lists this ribosomal RNA (468 nucleotides) under uncultured rhizosphere oomycete. RNAcentral describes it as "eukaryotic LSU rRNA". It matches the Rfam family "Eukaryotic large subunit ribosomal RNA", at positions 326 to 630 of the family's 3401-position model. The record is from RNAcentral. Lineage: Eukaryota; Oomycota.